This 1120-nucleotide long non-coding RNA is filed under the name Pan troglodytes (chimpanzee). RNAcentral's name for it is "lncRNA (ENSPTRG00000054239.1)". The record is from RNAcentral. Lineage: Eukaryota; Metazoa; Chordata; Mammalia; Primates; Hominidae.
AUUCUCUUUCUCACCUUUCUGGUAACUUUUAGGUAUGUAUCUAUAUUGGCCAGGGCAGACUAGGUCAUGCUGUGGAAACAAAACACUCUAAAAUCUCGACGGCUUAACACAACAGCAAACAUUUUUUUCUUGCUCAAGAAAAAACCUACCUACUGCAGAUCCAGCUGACCCUCCUAUCCUUCAUGCAGCAACUCCACAAUCCAGGCUGCUUUGACCUUAUGGUGCCAUCACCUAAAUAUGAGGCAUUCCGCAAGAUCACUUCAGCUGCAAUGAGCUGCUUCAGCCCAGGAGUGACACGUGCCCCUUACAGUCACAGCCUGUUGGCCAGGACAGCUAUCCAGCCUCACUUGGCUGCCAGAGGAGAGAAAUGUGAUCCUUCCAUGUGCCCAGGAGAGGAGCACAGAUACGCGGAUAUGGGUCACCCUUAAGAACCAGCUGUCCCAGCUAGCCAUUGUGGCCCAAGCUCCCCAAGACAUGGCCCACUGGAGGUAAGUCCCAGGAGACCUUCCGGCUUUUGAAAAAUCCAGAGCUCACUUCACGAAAGACCCACAGGUGUACCUGGACACUUUGAUCUCAAUGCUCCAAUAUAAAGAGCCUGACGUAUAUACCCUUGGGCUGCCUGCUACUUACCUUUGGCCCAUCAGGUAGGAGGCAGACUUGGCAGGGAGUCUUUCUGCAUGUGACCUACUGAUAUUUGAUCUUUUCAUGGCUGAUUACUGGGAAAUGGGGGAAGAAGUUCUGCAGAAUUAGCUUAUCUCUGGGGAGACUGUCAGGUAUGAUUGUGAUAUGCACUCUUUUUUUUUUUUUUCCUGCAAUCACAUCAGAGAGUGAAAUCGCAUGGUCUUUUAAGGCACACAUGCAGAAGUGCAGCCGAUUCAUUUCCAUUCUGUCUGUCCAGCACAUCCUCCAGGAAUUCUCCCAUGACUCCAAUCCCUAUAGAUGGCUCCUUUCUAUAGAUGUCUCCUAGAUGUCUGUAGGAUAGUCCUAUAGAUGUCUCCUAGAGCAGGCUUUGGCAAACUAUUGUCCACAUGCCAAACUUGGCCAAGCAUCUGUUUUUCUAAAUAAAGUUUUAUUGAAAUACACCCAUGUUUAUUGUUGUCUAUGACUGCUUUUGUGCUAU